AAGGCUUUAGCUUAAUUAAAGUGUCUGAGUUGCAUUCAGGUGAUGUGGGAUAAAAUCCCGCAAGUCUUA
This 69-nucleotide transfer RNA is filed under the name Anchoa mitchilli (bay anchovy). RNAcentral's name for it is "tRNA-Ala". It matches the Rfam family "tRNA". From Rfam's summary of the family: Transfer RNA (tRNA) molecules are approximately 80 nucleotides in length. Their secondary structure includes four short double-helical elements and three loops (D, anti-codon, and T loops). Lineage: Eukaryota; Metazoa; Chordata; Actinopteri; Clupeiformes; Engraulidae. The record is from RNAcentral. RNAcentral also lists the same sequence under 10 other names.